This 404-nucleotide ribosomal RNA is filed under the name uncultured bacterium. Its description in RNAcentral is "bacterial SSU rRNA". It matches the Rfam family "Bacterial small subunit ribosomal RNA", at positions 355 to 776 of the family's 1533-position model. The record is from RNAcentral.
UAGGGAAUAUUAGUAAUGGGCGAAAGCCUGAACUAGCAACGCCGCGUGUGCGAAGAAGGCCUUCGGGUUGUAAAGCACUUUUUGAGAGGAUGAGGAAGGACGGUACUCUCAGAAUAAGUCUCGGCUAACUACGUGCCAGCAACCGCGGUAACACGUAGGAGGCGAACGUUAUCCGGAUUUACUGGGCGUAAAGCGCGUGUAGGUGGUUUGGUAAGUAGGGCGUGAAAGCUCCUGGCUCAACUGGGAGAGGCCGUUCUAAACUGCCGAACUAGAGGAUGGUAGAGGGAGGUGGAAUUCCGGGUGUAGCGGUGGAAUGCGCAGAUAUCCGGAGGAACACCAGUGGCGAAAGCGGCCUCCUGGACCACUCCUGACACUCAGACGCGAAAGCUAGGGUAGCAAACGGG